Non-coding RNA from Arachis ipaensis, 332 nucleotides. The record is from RefSeq and is a predicted model, not a curated record. Lineage: Eukaryota; Viridiplantae; Streptophyta; Magnoliopsida; Fabales; Fabaceae.
UUGCACUUGUUCUUGACACCAGUGGUGAUAAGCUUCCUAAUACAUUCAACUUAGCGUACAAGAGUGUUCCUAUGCAUGAUGUAACUGUAGGAUCAUAUAUCCUUGUUGGUGCUGGUGAGGUGUGUGGCACUUAUUAGAAGCUUCUCCAUGAGAAAGAAGAAUUAUGAACAUGAUGGAGUUUGUAAUUUGUAGUUUAUAUUUUGGAGAUUUAUAAUUCCUUGCUUUUCUUGUCAUAUGUAUCUAUCUAGUUCAUUAGAGUUUUUCAAUGUGUCUUGUUAGUUUGUACUUUAGAGUUUAUAUGUUGAAGAUUUAUAAAACAAUCUUAGUUAAAU